AGAUUAAACUGAAGAGUUUGAUCCUGGCUCAGAUUGAACGCUGGCGGCAUGCCUUACACAUGCAAGUCGAACGGCAGCACGGAGCUUGCUCUGGUGGCG
This is a ribosomal RNA of 99 nucleotides. It matches the Rfam family "Bacterial small subunit ribosomal RNA", at positions 1 to 93 of the family's 1533-position model.